UUUUAUUUGAGAGUUUGAUCCUGGCUCAGGAUGAACGCUGGCGGCGUGCCUAACACAUGCAAGUUGAGCGAUUUACUUCGGUAAAGAGCGGCGGACGGGUGAGUAACGCGUGGGUAACCUACCCUGUACACACGGAUAACAUACCGAAAGGUAUGCUAAUACGGGAUAAUAUAUUUGAGAGGCAUCUCUUGAAUAUCAAAGGUGAGCCAGUACAGGAUGGACCCGCGUCUGAUUAGCUAGUUGGUAAGGUAACGGCUUACCAAGGCGACGAUCAGUAGCCGACCUGAGAGGGUGAUCGGCCACAUUGGAACUGAGACACGGUCCAAACUCCUACGGGAGGCAGCAGUGGGGAAUAUUGCACAAUGGGCGAAAGCCUGAUGCAGCAACGCCGCGUGAGUGAUGAAGGCCUUCGGGUCGUAAAACUCUGUCCUCAAGGAAGAUAAUGACGGUACUUGAGGAGGAAG
Molecule: ribosomal RNA, 464 nt
Filed under: Clostridioides difficile
Lineage: Bacteria; Bacillati; Bacillota; Clostridia; Peptostreptococcales; Peptostreptococcaceae
Description: bacterial SSU rRNA
Rfam family: Bacterial small subunit ribosomal RNA
Source: RNAcentral